GGAAGUAAAAGUCGUAACAAGGUUUCCGUAGGUGAACCUGCGGAAGGAUCAUUACCGAGUUCGUGGGCGUUCUAACCGGACCCCAAACUCCCACCCCGUGUGUACCUCCAACCUCGUUGCUUUGGCGGGCCUGCGCGCCCUCAGAAAGCGCGCUGCCGGCUCCGCUGGCUCGUGCCCGCCAGAGGACCUUCAAACUCUUGCCUUUAACCGUGCCGUCUGAGUGUGAAACCUAAUACGUUUAAAACUUUCAACAACGGAUCUCUUGGUUCUGGCAUCGAUGAAGAACGCAGCGAAAUGCGAUAAGUAAUGUGAAUUGCAGAAUUCAGUGAAUCAUCGAAUCUUUGAACGCACAUUGCGCCCUUUGGUAUUCCGAAGGGCAUGCCUGUUCGAGCGUCAUUACACCCCUCAAGCUCUGCUUGGUAUUGGGCCCUCGUCCGUCAGGGACGGGCCUCAAAAUCCUCGGCGGCGGUGCCCGGCUUUGAGCGUAGUAGAACUUCUCGUCUCGCUUUGAAAGCCUGUGGCGCCCGCUUGCCGGACGACCCCCAAUCUUUCUCCCAAGGUUGACCUCGGAUCAGGUAGGGAUACCCGCUGAACUUAAGCAUAUCAAUAAGCGGAGGAA
RNAcentral lists this ribosomal RNA (619 nucleotides) under uncultured fungus. RNAcentral's name for it is "eukaryotic LSU rRNA". The stretch from base 243 to 396 matches the Rfam family "5.8S ribosomal RNA". Lineage: Eukaryota; Fungi. The record is from RNAcentral.